UGGAUGCCCUGGCAGUCAGAGGCGAUGAAGGACGUGCUAAUCUGCGAUAAGCGCCGGUAAGGUGAUAUGAACCGUUAUAACCGGCGAUUUCCGAAUGGGGAAACCCAGUGUGAUUCGUCACACUAUCAUUAACUGAAUCCAUAGGUUAAUGAGGCGAACCGGGGGAACUGAAACAUCUAAGUACCCCGAGGAAAAGAAAUCAACCGAGAUUCCCCCAGUAGCGGCGAGCGAACGGGGAGGAGCCCAGAGCCUGAAUCAGCAUGUGUGUUAGUGGAAGCGUCUGGAAAGGCGCGCGAUACAGGGUGACAGCCCCGUACACAAAAGCGCAUGUGCUGUGAGCUCGAUGAGUAGGGCGGGACACGUGGUAUCCUGUCUGAAUAUGGGGGGACCAUCCUCCAAGGCUAAAUACUCCUGACUGACCGAUAGUGAACCAGUACCGUGAGGGAAAGGCGAAAAGAACCCCGGCGAGGGGAGUGAAAAAGAA
RNAcentral lists this ribosomal RNA (484 nucleotides) under Salmonella enterica subsp. enterica serovar Newport. RNAcentral's name for it is "partial 23S ribosomal RNA". It matches the Rfam family "Bacterial large subunit ribosomal RNA", at positions 25 to 548 of the family's 2925-position model. Lineage: Bacteria; Pseudomonadati; Pseudomonadota; Gammaproteobacteria; Enterobacterales; Enterobacteriaceae. The record is from RNAcentral.